This 769-nucleotide ribosomal RNA is filed under the name Demequina litoralis. RNAcentral describes it as "partial 23S ribosomal RNA". It matches the Rfam family "Bacterial large subunit ribosomal RNA", at positions 2163 to 2925 of the family's 2925-position model. The record is from RNAcentral. Lineage: Bacteria; Bacillati; Actinomycetota; Actinomycetes; Micrococcales; Demequinaceae.
CCGGAACGCCAGUUUCGGUGGAGUCAUUGUUGAAAUACCACUCUGAUCACUCUGGAUAUCUAACCUCGGUCCGUGAUCCGGAUCAGGGACAGUGCCUGGUGGGUAGUUUAACUGGGGCGGUUGCCUCCCAAAGAGUAACGGAGGCGCCCAAAGGUUCCCUCAGCCUGGUUGGCAAUCAGGUGGCGAGUGCAAGUGUACAAGGGAGCUUGACUGUGAGACUGACAGGUCGAGCAGGGACGAAAGUCGGGACUAGUGACCCGCCGGUGGCAAGUGGAAGCGCCGGCGCUCAACGGAUAAAAGGUACCCCGGGGAUAACAGGCUGAUCCUGCCCAAGAGUCCAUAUCGACGGCAUGGUUUGGCACCUCGAUGUCGGCUCGUCGCAUCCUGGGGCUGGAGUUGGUCCCAAGGGUUGGGCUGUUCGCCCAUUAAAGCGGUACGCGAGCUGGGUUUAGAACGUCGUGAGACAGUUCGGUCCCUAUCCGCUGCGCGCGCAGGAAAUUUGAGAAAGGCUGCCCCUAGUACGAGAGGACCGGGGUGGACCAACCUCUGGUGUGCCAGUUGUUCCGCCAGGAGCACGGCUGGUUGGCUACGUUGGGAAGGGAUAACCGCUGAAAGCAUCUAAGCGGGAAGCCUGUUUCAAGAUGAGAUUUCCACGGGCCUCGCGCCCGGAAGGCCCCCUACAGACCAUGGGGUUGAUAGGCCGGAUGUGGAAGAGAGGACCAAAGACUCUUGAAGCUGACCGGUACUAAUAGGCCGACAACUUGACUUA